RNAcentral lists this ribosomal RNA (253 nucleotides) under uncultured bacterium. RNAcentral's name for it is "partial 16S ribosomal RNA". It matches the Rfam family "Bacterial small subunit ribosomal RNA", at positions 524 to 776 of the family's 1533-position model. The record is from RNAcentral.
UACAGAGGGUGCGAGCGUUGUCCGGAAUCACUGGGCGUAAAGGGCGCGUAGGCGGCAUGCUAAGCGUGCGGUGAAAGCUCAGGGCUCAACCCUGAGUCGGCCGUGCGGACUGGCGAGCUAGAGCACGGUAGAGGCACAUGGAAUUCCGGGUGUAGCGGUGGAAUGCGUAGAGAUCCGGAAGAACACCGGUGGCGAAGGCGGUGUGUUGGGCCGUUGCUGACGCUGAGGCGCGACAGCGUGGGGAGCAAACAGG